RNAcentral lists this long non-coding RNA (320 nucleotides) under Sorghum bicolor (sorghum). Its description in RNAcentral is "long non-coding RNA (SBIC_LNC012339)". Lineage: Eukaryota; Viridiplantae; Streptophyta; Magnoliopsida; Poales; Poaceae. The record is from RNAcentral.
GACACCGAUCAAAUUAAGCUGCGUUCAUCUUAUGUAUAAAAUAACGGCAACAUAUAAUUUUACAAAGGAAACAAUAUAUACUGUGACUAGGCGCUCGAGAUCUCGCUUGUUACAAGCGCAAAAACCAUAGCUCCAAGAGUAAAUAAAAAAUAAAUCAGUGAAUCAUUCUUGCUGAUUCAGCCGAGGUGAUAUAUGUUCAUGAUAAAAAAAAUCUUUCAAUUAACAGGCGCAGACAAAACAAAGUAGGCUCGAGAAAAAAAAAUCGGCCAAUGGCAAUCGCCUUCCAUCGGGGCUCAUCGGACAAAAAUGAGCUCAUAGCC